CAUUAUGGUCAUUUUAUAUGGCUGGCGAUAGAUCAUUCAAGUUUCUGACCUAUCAGCUUUCGACGGUAGUGUAUUGGACUACCGUGGCAGUGACGGGUAACGGGGAAUUAGGGUUCGAUUCCGGAGAGGGAGCCUGAGAAACGGCUACCACAUCUAAGGAAGGCAGCAGGCGCGCAAAUUACCCAAUCCUGACUCAGGGAGGUAGUGACAAGAAAUAACAACACUGGAAAUUUUAUUUCUAGUGAUUGGAAUGAUGGGAAUUUAAACCCCUUUCAGAGUAACAAUUGGAGGGCAAGUCUGGUGCCAGCAGCCGCGGUAAUUCCAGCUCCAAUAGCGUAUAUUAAAGUUGUUGCAGUUAAAAAGCUCGUAGUUGGAUGUCUGCUGGAAGCAAUCAGUCCGCCCUAUUUGUAGGGUGUGCACUUGAUGAAUUCUGGCAUCUAUAUCCCAAUAAUAUGAUGGUGUAUACCCUGUGUACACCCAUCUAUAUUGGGAUAAUACCGUUACUUUGAGAAAAUUAGAGUGUUUGAAGCAGGCUAAUUGCCUUGAAUACUGCAGCAUGGAAUAACAAUAUAGGAUUUCGGUUCUAUUUUGUUGGUUUCUAGGACUGAAAUAAUGAUUAAUAGGGACAGUUGGGGGCAUUCGUAUUUAACUGUCAGAGGUGAAAUUCUUAGAUUUGUUAAAGACGAACUACUGCGAAAGCAUUUGCCAAAGAUGUUUUCAUUAAUCAAGAACGAAAGUUAGGGGCUCGAAGACGAUCAGAUACCGUCGUAGUCUUAACCAUAAACUAUGCCGACUAGAGAUAGGAAAAUGUCAUUUUUCUGACUUCU
This 827-nucleotide ribosomal RNA is filed under the name Sarcocystis cruzi. RNAcentral's name for it is "SSU rRNA". It matches the Rfam family "Eukaryotic small subunit ribosomal RNA", at positions 252 to 1079 of the family's 1831-position model. Lineage: Eukaryota; Apicomplexa; Conoidasida; Eucoccidiorida; Sarcocystidae. The record is from RNAcentral.